Molecule: long non-coding RNA, 254 nt
Filed under: Mytilus galloprovincialis (Mediterranean mussel)
Lineage: Eukaryota; Metazoa; Mollusca; Bivalvia; Mytilida; Mytilidae
Source: RNAcentral
AAAUGAUGAAGAAAUAUCAUUAGAUGAAACCUCAGAUAUCAUUUUUAGCAGAUAAUUAAAUUUUUCAGAAUUUAUAUUGGCUGUGGUGAUGAUUGUAGUGGGUAUAAUUGAAAUUAUCAGAAAAUUUAGACAAAGACUGCAAAAUUUACUAGACCGACUAGGAAACCCUCCUGCUGCACAAGAUAAUCAACAACAAGCUGCUCAAAACCAACCCAUUGCUCCAUUGCUUGCUCAAAAUCAACAAAUACUUCCCC